RNAcentral lists this long non-coding RNA (3353 nucleotides) under Homo sapiens (human). Its description in RNAcentral is "TENM3 antisense RNA 1 (TENM3-AS1)". Lineage: Eukaryota; Metazoa; Chordata; Mammalia; Primates; Hominidae. The record is from RNAcentral.
CGCCCGCGCGCCAAUGAGUUCACUUUCUUUCUCUCCCCCGCGCUCCCCCUCUCCCCGCCCGCCGGCCCCUCCAGCCUCCUCCAAGGCGGCGGACCAGGCCGGGCCGGAGUUUUCGGGGUUCAGCCCGCGAGCGGGAGGACCGGGGAGGCGAGGGAGGAGGAAGGCGAGAAGGGCCAGAUCGCGGGAGAGCCCAAUCACGGGGCGAGCUGGACCUGGCUGUGAUCAUUUAUAAUCCUUGACUCCUCCGCUCCGCCACUUGUCAAGAUGACAGGGGUCAUCCGUGAAUAACACUUCACGCUGAUGAAUGGCUCUUGCCGGCUUUCGGCUCUGAUGAGGGGUCUGCCCGCCGCCGAUUGAAAACACUAAUGAACUUACUGCGCCAUUUGAAAUUCACACGCACCAACAAAAUGGGGGGUGGGCAUUUCAGGUCAGCUGAGUCACCCGAGGAGGUGGCAGUGCAAGACACUGCCGGGAAGACGGAUUCCGAGGCAGAAGGGUGUAAUUAAGGAUUUCCACCCCCGAAGUUCCAUCAUUUGAGGCCGUUAGGAAAAGCUGAUGUUGUGCAGUGCCAAACUACCACACGCUUCCUCCUUCGGAUGAAUCCCUGGAAAGCAGAGAGGCAGCUCGCUACGUGACCAUCAUGCUUUUUACCUCACUGAGCUGUUGUCAAGAGAGGGCGGGGAUGGCGGGCAGCUCACGUCGUGCCCUCCGCAGCAAUAAAAACUGGAGCGGGAGAAGAAAUGCAAGACAUCGCUGUCUGUUUUGCAAGCCUCUGGCCGCUCUCAGCAAACUCUGCCCGGCGCGGCUGGUGACUUUGCGGUGUGAACGCAGCCGGUCGUGCUCGGGAUAAUGGGACCGAGCUGGCGGCAUCGCCCUCCCGUGGGCCCCUCUUGCCACACAGAUGCGCAGCUCUCCAAAAGGAAAAUGUGGCCCAGCAACCCUCGCCUAGCCCUAGUCCUAGGAAUGCAUGCCUGGGGCCUUUGGAAGCCUCUCAAAGGGCUGGGGGGCGGGGGGGAGGGAUAUAAUGGGCCGAACCUCUGGAUUCAUUUUGGGGAAGAGGAGACAGGUUCUUGCCCCACUACUGAGGCAAGGCCAACAGCACCCUGCCCUGCUGCUCCACCGCCUCCCCGCGGGUCAAGUCUCAGCCGAGUGUCGCUGCCCACCUGAAGGUGACACCUGUCCAUUUUAGUCAGCAUCACAUGCGCCUUCCCUUUCUCCCCUUUGGGGUCUGUCCGUUUUCUCCUCCUGUCCUAAAGAGCCAGCUUGGAACUGAAGGGGCCGGGUAGCAGCUGUUUGUGCCUCUUGCCCGUGCAGACUCGAGGGUCUCCGCAGCCACUUCCUCCUUUAACACGCGAGGCUUUCAGGCGUGCAGAAGGGGACCGCCGGGUCAGGCAGGUAUUAGGCUCUCCAAGGACACUUGUGGACAUCACUGGAGUUUACCUAUUGUUUGGACUUUAUUACAUCUGCUUUAGCAAACGGAGGCAUGAGCGGCCUGUCUGCUGGGUUCAAACCCAGUUGCUGCCCCGGCUGCAACCUCUCCCACUCAAGAGACCCUAGGAACGAUGAGGAACGGGGUAGAAAUGACCAGGGGAGCCAAAUCUCAGGUACCGAGACCUUCCAGCUCACCCCUCAGGCUCAGGAAAGCCAAUAACCCACAUAUGCCCAAAAGGAGCUUAUGUCUCAACUGAGAACAGCAAAUAGGUGAUGGGCCACUUUAGAACAGAGGCUAAAGGCUGGUAGCCACUGAGCAAAACCCAAAUUCUAGGCACCUGAGGUGUUUCCCUUACACAAGUGCCUUCACAGGUAGCAAGCAAUUAAUCUGCAACAGUGAACAACACUAAAACUUAAAUUUUACAUGGAAGUCUCUCAAGUAGACAAAGUUAUUAUUGGGUGGGGUUUUCCCCCCACUGGCAAAAAAAUAACUUAUCCCUUGGCUGUUAGAUUGAGGGAACUAUAAAACAAAUAUUUUAAUUCGAUCACUGACAAAGUCAUAAAAUUCAAUGACUGUUUGUAGAGGAAAACAUGCUUUCAUUAUCUUAAUUAAAGCAAGAUAAGCCUCUCUCAAUGUGCAUGCAUUUUGGAGCCACUGAAUGGACUGGUGAUGAGACGAAGCAACCUUUAAUUGGGACCAUGCUUCUCCAGUACAUUCGUUUGUAUUCCAUGGUGUAAACCGGGCCUUACGCGUGGCUCCGACCUUCGGUGGAAAUGCAUUUGCGUAGCACCACCCAGGGGCUCCCUUGCUUUGGCUAGAGCCUCAUAAAAGACCCCAGGUUUUGCGAAGGAUUUUGAACACCAGCGUCUUUUAACAUGUGGAACUUUCGGUUUUGGUUUAGCUCUGUGAACGUAUUUAAAACUUGCUACAUUAUUCCACAGUGAAAGUUGGAACCUUUUUAAGAGUUAUCAUAGAGUGCCUUUUAACAUCUGUCAUAUUUUCUAUAAACAACUUUUCAGUGAGAAGCGUAUAUAGUGUACUCGAGGUAGGCAUUAGCUGCUGGCAAGGUUUAUGAUACAAUAGUGACACUACAGGACAAUUUUUUAGUCAAACAACACCCGUUAGAUAUUUCAGGGUCCAGCUUAUAUGUUAACUUGUAAAUAUAGGUUAAAAAUAUAGGUAUCAAGUGACUAAAUUCAGUAUCAGACAAAUUGAACAUCUUUUUAUUUCCCAGAAGUGCCCUACUCUUUCUCCUCCCUUUGGUGACCUCUUAGUCUGGAAUGCUCUGCAUCCGGGGCCCCUGGAACACAUAGUUUUUAAAGUACCUAUUAGUGAUACUCUCCUCCCGUUGGCAGUGCUUCCACUGUGUUUUCUGCAUGUAAUAAAGGAUGGCACUGUUUUUUGCAUAGGUCUUUCCUAAUAGCUGAGCACUCUUGGAGUGUAGGGGCUCAACCUUAUGCCUCUUUGGACACACAAGCCUAGCCCAUGGGCUGGCAUAUAGGAGCUGCUCAAUAAAUGUUUGUUGAACGAAUGAGUGGAUACACGAAUAAAAUAUUUUCAUUGUCUUUAGCCCCUCUGACUUUCUUUUUUAAACAGGGGUAUGUCAUAAAUAAAAUUUACCUUGAAAAUGCAUUUAAGUACACUGUUCUACUUCUCUGACCAUGAAGUUUUUAAUGGGACAUCGUUUUAAAAUUCUGGUCAUUACAACGAACCACUUUUGACCUUGGUUGACUUUUCUCAGAAUCAUAAUGCGAAGUAAAGACAAAAACAAUGAGAAAAGGCAAAGAGAUCAAAUUUUGGUUUUCUCUUUUUCAGUAGGAUAUGAUGUUUAUCGAAAUUUGGAAACAAAUUGUAGCAAGCACCUAUAACAUGUAGAUACUCAUGUUUUUAUAUUAAAUAUGACAUUAUUUAUAAAAAAAAA